Long non-coding RNA from Sphaeramia orbicularis (orbiculate cardinalfish), 230 nucleotides. RefSeq lists it as uncharacterized. The transcript is spliced from 3 exons. The record is from RefSeq and is a predicted model, not a curated record. NCBI's taxonomy places the organism in Eukaryota, Metazoa, Chordata, Actinopteri, Kurtiformes, Apogonidae.
UCAGUGGUAUGAAGAUCUUAUGCUGUUUCAGAAUAUUUAGAUCGGUAUAUAAACAGUGGACGUGGACUAAAAGUCCCAUGUCCUGAUCAUCGCAUUCAAGAUGGAAAUAAUGUCCACAGACUGAAACUUCUACAGCUACAAGAUAAAGAAGAGGAAGAUCCAGCGGUUGUUUUGGCUGUUUCAGUCUGACAGCAGCAGAAGAAGAAGGACAUUCUAAUAUACUCCACAUA